Molecule: ribosomal RNA, 133 nt
Filed under: Salvator merianae (Argentine black and white tegu)
Lineage: Eukaryota; Metazoa; Chordata; Lepidosauria; Squamata; Teiidae
Source: RNAcentral
GGCAAUGCCAAUAUUCCAUUAAGAUCUGNUGUUGCCCCUCAUCAUCUGGAGGCAACCUUUAAAAAGCUGAGCAUAGUCAAACCUGCUUCGUAUCUGGAUGGGACACCUCUAGGAAAUCCCAGGGCUAUAGCCU